Molecule: unclassified non-coding RNA, 302 nt
Filed under: uncultured Pseudomonadota bacterium
Lineage: Bacteria; Pseudomonadati; Pseudomonadota
Description: uncultured proteobacterium partial 16S-23S ribosomal RNA intergenic spacer
Source: RNAcentral
UCCCGGUUUCCCCAUUCGGACAUCUGCGGAUCAAUGCUUGUUUGCCAGCUCCCCGCAGCUUUUCGUAGGCUACAACGUCCUUCAUCGCCUGUGAUCGCCAAGGCAUCCACCAUAUGCACUUAGUCGCUUGAUCCUAUAACGCUAAUGGCUAUAAAACCGUCUUCCAGCAACCGUCUUGCUCUGACAUGAUACUUUGCGCAUUUGUGCCGUUCAUAAAUCACUGGACAUCUUGAACUUCGAUGGUGGAAUGGGCGGGCGGUUGCUAGGACGCGUUGGAGAGGGGACGGGGGAUCCGCGCCGCG